Molecule: ribosomal RNA, 774 nt
Filed under: uncultured Neocallimastigales
Lineage: Eukaryota; Fungi; Neocallimastigomycota; Neocallimastigomycetes; Neocallimastigales
Description: partial large subunit ribosomal RNA
Rfam family: Eukaryotic large subunit ribosomal RNA
Source: RNAcentral
UAUGUGAUCGUCUCUCGCAUAUCAAUAAGCGGAGGAAAAGAAACUAACAAGGAUUCCCUUAGUAACUGCGAGUGAAGCGGGAAGAGCUCAAAUUUGAAAUCUUAAAGGGUUUCCCUUUACGAAUUGUAGUUUAAAGAAGUGUUUUCUGUUGAGGUUUUGGUAAAAGUUCUUUGGAAUAGGACAUCAUAGAGGGUGAGAAUCCCGUAUUUGACCUUUACUUUCAACUUUGUGAUACACUUUCAAAGAGUCGGAUUGUUUGGGAAUGCAGUCCAAAAUGGGUGGUAAAUUUCAUCUAAAGCUAAAUAUUGGCGAGAGACCGAUAGCGAACAAGUACCGUGAGGGAAAGAUGAAAAGAACUUUGAAAAGAGAGUUAAACGGUACGUGAAAUUGUCAAAAGGGAAGCGUUUGACACCAGUGUUGUUUUUCUGAAAAUCAAUUAAAGAACUGUUUAUGCUAAGCUGUUUAGACUUUAUCAGCUAUCUGUUUAGUUUUGAGCUUUUCUUUAAUGCACUUUUCAGUUAACAAGUCAACAUCAAUUUCUUUUGCUGUAAAAAAGCUUGAGGAAGGUGGCUUGAGAUUCGUCUUAAGUGUUUAUAGCCUCUUGCCUAUGCAGUCGGAGAGAUCGAGGUCUGCAGCGUAGAUCCUUCGGGGCUAAAUGCAUUUGUGCUAAGUUAUAGCAUUUUAUAGACAACUUGUUGACUAUGAUUUGUCUUGUAGCUUACUCGCUUAUGUUAUUUUACCUACGCUUAGGAUGUUGAAGAUAUGCGCGACACG